Molecule: ribosomal RNA, 492 nt
Filed under: uncultured bacterium
Lineage: Bacteria
Description: partial 16S ribosomal RNA
Rfam family: Bacterial small subunit ribosomal RNA
Source: RNAcentral
AGUGAACGCUGGCGGUAGGCCUAACACAUGCAAGUCGAACGGCAGCGCAGUAAGAGCUUGCUCUUACGGGUGGCGAGUGGCGGACGGGUGAGGAAUACAUCGGAAUCUACUUUUUCGUGGGGGAUAACGUAGGGAAACUUACGCUAAUACCGCAUACGACCUACGGGUGAAAGCAGGGGAUCUUCGGACCUUGCGCGAUUGAAUGAGCCGAUGUCGGAUUAGCUAGUUGGCGGGGUAAAGGCCCACCAAGGCGACGAUCCGUAGCUGGUCUGAGAGGAUGAUCAGCCACACUGGAACUGAGACACGGUCCAGACUCCUACGGGAGGCAGCAGUGGGGAAUAUUGGACAAUGGGCGCAAGCCUGAUCCAGCCAUACCGCGUGGGUGAAGAAGGCCUUCGGGUUGUAGAGCCCUUUUGUUGGGAAAGAAAAGCAGCAGGUUAAUACCCCGCUGUUCUGACGGUACCCAAAGAAUAAGCACCGGCUAACUUCGUG